AGGGCGCCCCUCGGCUUCCAGGCCGCGGCCCAGGGACCCCGCAGGGCAGGAGGCAGGAGGCAGGAGGCAGGAGGCAGGUGCUGCGCAGGCGGGCGGCGGCAGGGGGGCUCCCGAGGGCCGCGGCGGCGCUCGCCCACAGGCCGCCCUCGCCCCGGCAGGGCCCGGGGGGGGGGGGGGGGGGCGGGGGGGGCGGAGCGCGCGGCGGAGCGGGCCAGGCCGUUGCUAGGCGCGGGGAAGGCGGGGCCGCGCGAAGCCCCGCCCCCGCCCCGCCCCGCCCCCCGCCGGCCGCGGCCGCGGGCUACAGCCAGGGCCCGGGGGGCCCGGCGUCCGGGGCGCGCAGGCCUGGCUCGGGGGCGCGCACGGGCGGCUCGUCCUUGUCGCCACGCGGGCGCGGCGCGCGCGGUCCCCGCUGCUCGAGGUGCAGCUGCAGCAGCGCCCGGCGGUACAUGGCCUCCAGCUUCUCGAGCCGGGCCCUCAGGGCCCUGGGGCUGCCCGGCUCGUCCUCGAGGCCGCCGCCCCCCGCCCCGCGGUUCGUGCCGGCGUCGUCGGGGCCCGGGCUGGCCCUCGCCGCGGCCGCGGCCGCCCCGUCGCCACCGUCGCCGGGAAGCCGCAGGGCCUGACGGAAGAGGCUGCGGUUCUCGCGCUUCAGCCGCCGGUUUUCCAGCCGCAGCCGGGCGUUCUCCUCGCGCAGCCGCGCGUUCUGCCGGUCCCGCUCGUCCCGCGCGCGGAUGGCCUCCAGGUGGCUCGCGGCCAGGUCGGCGAACCGCUCCUCCAGCUGCUGCCGGGCGCCGCCCGCACGGCCUCGCCAGCCCACGCCGCCGCCGCCGCCGCCGCCGCCUACGCCGCCGCCGCCGCCCCCGCGAGCCCGGCCCGGGCGGCCCUGCCCGCGGCCGUCCCCGCCGCCGUCCCCGCCGCCGCAGCCCCCGCGCCUGCUGGCGCCACCACGCAUGCGCCACAUCGGUGCUGUCCCCGCCGCGCCGCCGGCGCCGUGGGCCGAGGCGCGGGCGGCCGGGGCCGCGGCGGAGGAGGCGGAGGAGGCGGAGGAGGAGGAGGAGGGAGAGGUGGCGGGAGGCGGCUGCUGGCCCGGGGCCAGAGGGGGCCGGGAAUGUGCCCGGGCCGAGGCGUGUCUGUCUCCCGCGGUGGAGCUGCCCCCCGCCCCCGGGCCUGGCUCCGCGGCCCGCGCACACAAUGCCCCGGGGAGCGCGUUGCUGCUCAGCCCUCGGGCGGGGGCGGGGGCGGGGGCGGGGGCGUGAGUCCCCGCGGGGUGCUGCGGCCGCUUCCGUGCAGGCCCGGGCGCUGCAGCCCAGCGCAGCCACCGCCCGCACGACGCUCGCAAAGCACAUAAGGAUGGUAACAGGAUGCGUUCUGAGACACAGAGGGGCAGGUUGGGAGCCGGCGGUCUUGAGCCCCUCUAGGCGCAGUGAAGCGUCAGAGCUGCGUGUGGGGCCUCGAGUGGGAACAGGCACGUCUCCGAACAGCGUGGGCGACUCCCCACCCGCGAACAGCCGGGGUCCCGCCCUGCAAAUUGCAACCCCGUAG
This 1539-nucleotide long non-coding RNA is filed under the name Canis lupus familiaris (dog). RNAcentral describes it as "lncRNA (ENSCAFG00030010027.1)". Lineage: Eukaryota; Metazoa; Chordata; Mammalia; Carnivora; Canidae. The record is from RNAcentral.